Non-coding RNA from Pelobates cultripes (western spadefoot toad), 308 nucleotides. NCBI's taxonomy places the organism in Eukaryota, Metazoa, Chordata, Amphibia, Anura, Pelobatidae. The record is from the annotation of a GenBank genome assembly.
AUUGACUUGUACUCAUAAUGGCAUUCAAGGAACAAUAUCAGAGGGAGUAUAACAACUCCAGAAAGCAUAGCGAAAAACAUAAUCUUGGUCUCAGGUUCGUAUGAUCCUCUCAAUCUACGAUAUGGUGUGAAAGCCAUGAUGCUUCGCUAAGGGGAAAUUCUUCUCUUUCCGAGUGAGGAGUGGUGUUGUCUUCCUUGGUUCCCCUCUUUGGACACAGCUUCACUCGGGAUGCGUGAAUCCAGAUGUCGUGGGAAUCUGUGAGGACAGCGGUUCUGGUUACAGCAAUCACAGUAGCAGGUGGUCCGAAA